RNAcentral lists this ribosomal RNA (448 nucleotides) under uncultured bacterium. RNAcentral's name for it is "partial 16S ribosomal RNA". It matches the Rfam family "Bacterial small subunit ribosomal RNA", at positions 328 to 793 of the family's 1533-position model. The record is from RNAcentral.
GUACCAGACUCCUACGGGAGGCAGCAGUGGGGAAUAUUGCACAAUGGGGGAAACCCUGAUGCAGCGACGCCGCGUGAGCGAUGAAGUAUUUCGGUAUGUAAAGCUCUAUCAGCAGGGAAGAAAAUGACGGUACCUGACUAAGAAGCCCCGGCUAACUACGUGCCAGCAGCCGCGGUAAUACGUAGGGGGCAAGCGUUAUCCGGAUUUACUGGGUGUAAAGGGAGCGUAGGCGGUCCUGCAAGCCAGAUGUGAAAGCCCGGGGCUCAACCCCGGGACUGCAUUUGGAACUGUAAGGCUAGAGUGUCGGAGAGGCGGGCGGAAUUCCUAGUGUAGCGGUGAAAUGCGUAGAUAUUAGGAGGAACACCAGUGGCGAAGGCGGCCUGCUGGACGAUGACUGACGUUGAGGCUCGAAAGCGUGGGGAGCAAACAGGAUUAGAUACCCCGUAAC